Long non-coding RNA from Spea bombifrons (plains spadefoot toad), 247 nucleotides. RefSeq lists it as uncharacterized. The transcript has 3 exons. NCBI's taxonomy places the organism in Eukaryota, Metazoa, Chordata, Amphibia, Anura, Pelobatidae. The record is from RefSeq and is a predicted model, not a curated record.
ACGGUGUCUAUGCGAAGAGAUCCCCGAAGAUGUUCACAGUAUACUGAGAUCAUUCGGGACUAUGUGAUCCUAGAGGACGGUUUACGGUGUCUAUGCGAAGAGAUCCCUGAAGACGUUCACAGUAUACUGAGAUCAUUCGGGACUAUGUGAUCCUAGAGGACGGUUUACGGUGUCUAUGUGAAGAGAUCCCCGAAGACAUUCACAGUAUACUGAGAACAUUUGGGACAAUGUGAUCCUAGAGGAUGGU